ACGCCCCCACGAGUUGACCUCGGAUCAGGUAGGGAUACCCGCUGAAC
RNAcentral lists this ribosomal RNA (47 nucleotides) under Hirsutella gregis. RNAcentral's name for it is "partial 28S ribosomal RNA". Lineage: Eukaryota; Fungi; Ascomycota; Sordariomycetes; Hypocreales; Ophiocordycipitaceae. The record is from RNAcentral.